This 586-nucleotide ribosomal RNA is filed under the name uncultured bacterium. RNAcentral's name for it is "partial 16S ribosomal RNA". It matches the Rfam family "Bacterial small subunit ribosomal RNA", at positions 355 to 1375 of the family's 1533-position model. The record is from RNAcentral.
UGGGGAAUUUUGGACAAUGGGCGAAAGCCUGAUCCAGCAAUGCCGCGUGUGUGAAGAAGGCCUUCGGGUUGUAAAGCACUUUUGUCCGGAAAGAAAUCCUUGGCUCUAAUACAGUCGGGGGAUGACGGUACCGGAAGAAUAAGCACCGGCUAACUACGUGCCAGCAGCCGCGGUAAUACGUAGGGUGCAAGCGUUAAUCGGAAUUACUGGGCGUAAAGCGUGCGCAGGCGGUUUGCUAAGACCGGUGUGAAAUCCCCGGGCUCAACCUGGGAACUGCAUUGGUGACUGGCAGGCUAGAGUAUGGCAGAGGGGGGUAGAAUUCCACGUGUAGCAGUGAAAUGCGUAGAGAUGUGGAGGAAUACCGAUGGCGAAGGCAGCCCCCUGGGCCAAUACUGACGCUCAUGCACGAAAGCGUGGGGGAGCAAACAGGAUUAGAUACCCUGGUAGUCCACGCCCUAAACGAUGUCAACUAGUUGUUGGGGAUUCAUUUCCUUAGUAACGUAGCUAACGCGUGAAGUUGACCGCCUGGGGAGUACGGUCGCAAGAUUAAAACUCAAAUGAAUUGACGGGGUCAUAGCUGUUUCCU